RNAcentral lists this long non-coding RNA (958 nucleotides) under Linum usitatissimum (flax). RNAcentral's name for it is "long non-coding RNA (LUSI_LNC004619)". The record is from RNAcentral. Lineage: Eukaryota; Viridiplantae; Streptophyta; Magnoliopsida; Malpighiales; Linaceae.
UAGCUGAGCGGCUGAGAGAAGAAGGGUAUAAACCUGUGACGAGAGAGUUGAUGCUGGACCUGGAAGACGGGGAGAAAGAAAUUGUUGUUAGUCAGCACAGCGAGAAGCUUGCUGUAGCGUUUGGGUUGAUUCAUGGAAAACCAGGGAUGGUGAUUCGCAUUUUCAAGAACCUUCGGGUAUGUGAGGACUGCCACACUGCGAUGAAACUCAUUUCUAGGGUUUAUAAUAGGGAGAUUGUGAUGCGCGACAGAGUUCGUUUCCACUGCUUCAGAGAUGGAGAAUGCUCUUGUGGUGAUUAUUGGUAAAAGACCCGAGGUAUUUGGGAACUGCACAAUAGAAAUUUCUGCAUUCCAUUAAGAUAAAGAAGACGACGGGUGUUCAAAGUUCUAAACUUUACUGUUCACAAAUUUUGCAGCCUGCGAUGCAUAUUUUAUCCAACAGGCAAUCCAUACCUCUGACUUCGUAAGAUACCAGUAGGUUUCUAGAUAGUUAUCACCGCUGAGUGGGAAAGAUCUUUCAAGCUUCAACAAUGAUUCCACUGACUGGGAAGCAUCUCUGGUCAAAAUCUCAAGCAACGGGUUCCAUCAGGAACAUUCGAUUGUCGUUCUCCGUUGGGUGCUUGCUACGUGAGUAACUCGCAUAAGUUGGUGGAUAAAAUGAAAGUUGACAACGACUACGCUGUUAGGUUGGUUGACAAAGAGAACAGUCUCACUGAAUGGCCACCUCUACCAACAGUCUCACUGAGACGAAUUAUAUUCAAAUCCUGUGGCUGAGUUUAUUGGUUUUGUAACGAUAUCUGUUAGACAAGUCAGCUUUUCCACGGACUUUCGGACGGAAGUCAUCAUGAAAAUGUAAAAAAAAUAGUUGAAUAACAAGAAUGUUACUUUCUCAAAACUUUAGUGACCGAAAAUGUGUUUAACCAGCGUUUCAACAUUAAUGGGGAAUUACGAAACGGACA